Molecule: ribosomal RNA, 437 nt
Filed under: uncultured bacterium
Lineage: Bacteria
Description: partial 16S ribosomal RNA
Rfam family: Bacterial small subunit ribosomal RNA
Source: RNAcentral
AGCGAACGCUGGCGGCAGGCUUGACACAUGCAAGUCGAGCGGGCAUCCUUGUGGUGUCAGCGGCAGACGGGUGAGUAACGCGUGGGAACGUGCCCUUCGGUUCGGAAUAACUCAGGGAAACUUUAGCUAAUACCGGAUACGUGCGAGAGCAGAAAGGUUUAUCUGCCGAAGGAUCGGCCCGCGUCUGAUUAGCUAGUUGGUGAGGUGAUGGCUCACCAAGGCGACGAUCAGUAGCUGGUCUGAGAGGAUGAUCAGCCACACUGGGACUGAGACACGGCCCAGACUCCUACGGGAGGCAGCAGUGGGGAAUAUUGGACAAUGGGGGCAAACCUGAUCCAGCCAUGCCGCGUGAGUGAUGCCGGCCUUAGGGUUGUAAAGCUCUUUUCUCCGGGACGAUAAUGACGGUACCGGAGGAAUAAGCACCGGCUAACUUCGUG